This 23-nucleotide microRNA is filed under the name Bos taurus (domestic cattle). RNAcentral describes it as "bta-miR-12020". Lineage: Eukaryota; Metazoa; Chordata; Mammalia; Artiodactyla; Bovidae. The record is from miRBase by way of RNAcentral.
UUUAAUACCAGUGCCAAUCAAUU